This is a small nuclear RNA of Heterocephalus glaber (naked mole-rat), 107 nucleotides long. The record is from Ensembl. Lineage: Eukaryota; Metazoa; Chordata; Mammalia; Rodentia; Bathyergidae.
GUGCUCGCUUCGGCAGCACAUAUAUUAAAAUUAGAAAGAUACAGAGAAGAUUAGCAUGGCCCCCGGCCAAGGAUGACAUGCAAAUUUGUGAAGUGUUCCAUAUUUUC